Vicia villosa (hairy vetch) is the source of this 1548-nucleotide long non-coding RNA. RefSeq lists it as uncharacterized. The transcript has 3 exons. Lineage: Eukaryota; Viridiplantae; Streptophyta; Magnoliopsida; Fabales; Fabaceae. The record is from RefSeq and is a predicted model, not a curated record.
UUCAUUACCUAAAAUCUCAAACAACUCUUUAUGUGUCUAAUCAAACCACAGAGCUUGGUUCUACAAUCCAAGCCUUCUCCCUACUCUUUCUCUUUCAUUUCUUCACACUAUUCCUUCUUACUUCUUUAUCUCUCUCUUUCUUCUUUCAACUUCUUCUUUGAACCCAAAUCUUACUCUCAUCUCUUUACCAAACAAAAAUCAAAAGCAUGGUUCAAAUUGAAAUCAAUAAGGAGCAAAGGGGUACCAAUCGAAAUAGGGGAGACAACAAAGACUACGACAUUUCCAGCGGUGUUCAGUUUCACUAUGGUAGAUCUGUGAUGGAGGCAACGCUUUUUCGGCAACGAUUUGGGUGAUGGUCGGAUUCAAAAUGGUGGAUGUGACUUUUUUUAGUUUUUGUGCAAGCUUCUGUUUUAUGACUUUUUUGUAGGUUUUUUCUUAUAUUUUACAUCAAUGAUUUUAUAACUUUGGAAUUUUUAUGUUUUUAUGAAGUUUUGAUCUUGAUGGAUGAAGAUGAGGACUUCAUUGCAAAGCUUUCAGAUUUUUGACAGUUGGUGUUCUAUAAAGAGAGUUAUUUUAUUUUAAUAAUAACCAUUAUUGAUGUAUUUAUAUUUAUUUACAGAUCUCUCAUUUUGAGAACAACAACUAUGGUGUUUCCGGCGGUUUUACGGCGGUGUACAGUUUCACAAUGGUAUAUCUUCUUCCUUCUCUACCUCUUUCGCUAUCUCUUUUGUUAUUUCGGUAUCACACCGAAACAAGAUGGUGUUCGAAUCGGUUUACGUUUGUCGUUGUUUUCAAUGUCUUUACUUCAUUCCUGAUUUAUGUGAUGUUCCAGACAAGUUGUAACUUAUCUCUUAUUUGUGUUUUUGGAGGAUUCAUGAGAUUAAGUCUGGAUCGAGUUUUAUCGCUAUGGUGAAGCUAACAAGACACCACAGAAGGCUUGAGCUUAGAAGUUAUUGAAUCCAAAAUCUUGAAGUGACCGCAGAAACUACCUUUUUAUAUUUUUUUUCCAUGAAUGCAGUUAGACAAUGGUGAUAUCAUAUGCUUUCAUAAAGCUUCUGCAAUGGGUAACGGGAGGAAUUAAAUAUACUGUUAAAGCUUCAUUGGUUAGAGGAUUGGUCAAAACUUUCUCGAUGUUUGCAUAGGUUCAAGUGAUGGAAUUGUUUUUGUAUGAGAGGUUUUCAGAUUAGUCAUAAUUUGGCUUGGGGAACAAAGACAUAAGCCCAGCAGAGAAAAUGAUCUCUUUAUCUGAUGUUGUGAAGGAGCAUUGGACAACCUAUGGUAUAAAUUUAAAUGCUUAGGCUAUUGUUGGUCUGGGUUGAAAGUUAAAUGAUAUUCUGAUACUGGAAACUGUUUUUACAGCACUCAUUUAUAGCUUAUUUCGAAAAUGGUGUUUGAGAGCUAUGCCUUGAAGCAACUUGUGGUGGGCAGCUUGAAAGUGAGAUGGAAGAUCAAUAAAACCAUCAUACAUUAUGUAAAUAUAACUUAUUAAAAAAGAAUUCAUUUUAGUUUUUUGGUACUAUAAGAAUUGAAUGUUAUAAUGUAUCUACA